This 709-nucleotide ribosomal RNA is filed under the name uncultured bacterium. Its description in RNAcentral is "bacterial SSU rRNA". It matches the Rfam family "Bacterial small subunit ribosomal RNA", at positions 127 to 851 of the family's 1533-position model. The record is from RNAcentral.
UGCCUUUCAGAGGGGGAUAACGGCUGGAAACGGUCGCUAAUACCGCAUGAUGUGUUCGGAUGGCAUCAUCUGAACAUCAAAGAUUUAUCGCUGAAAGAUGGGCUCGCGUCUGAUUAGAUAGUUGGUGGGGUAACGGUCUACCAAGUCUACGAUCAGUAGCCGGACUGAGAGGUUGAACGGCCACAUUGGGACUGAGAUACGGCCCAGACUCCUACGGGAGGCAGCAGUGGGGAAUAUUGCACAAUGGGGGAAACCCUGAUGCAGCAACGCCGCGUGAAGGAUGACGGUUUUCGGAUUGUAAACUUCUUUUCUUAGUGACGAAGACAGUGACGGUAGCUAAGGAAUAAGCAUCGGCUAACUACGUGCCAGCAGCCGCGGUAAUACGUAGGAUGCAAGCGUUAUCCGGAUUUACUGGGUGUAAAGGGAGCGCAGGCGGGACUGCAAGUUGGAUGUGAAAUACCGUGGCUUAACCACGGAACUGCAUCCAAAACUGUAGUUCUUGAGUGAAGUAGAGGCAAGCGGAAUUCCGAGUGUAGCGGUGAAAUGCGUAGAUAUUCGGAGGAACACCAGUGGCGAAGGCGGCUUGCUGGGCUUUAACUGACGCUGAGGCUCGAAAGUGUGGGGAGCAAACAGGAUUAGAUACCCUGGUAGUCCACACUGUAAACGAUGAUAGCUAGGUGUGGGGGGUCUGACCCCUUCCGUGCCGGAG